UUGCCGAAAACCUUCAGGAACUAGUUUCUU
This 30-nucleotide non-coding RNA is filed under the name Mus musculus (house mouse). The record is from RNAcentral. Lineage: Eukaryota; Metazoa; Chordata; Mammalia; Rodentia; Muridae.